This 1669-nucleotide long non-coding RNA is filed under the name Pan troglodytes (chimpanzee). Its description in RNAcentral is "long non-coding RNA NONPTRT002528". The record is from RNAcentral. Lineage: Eukaryota; Metazoa; Chordata; Mammalia; Primates; Hominidae.
GUUUUUGUCUUCAUGAGGAGGUCUUCACCAAGGGAAAGAAAGGGGUGGGAGAGUGAAGGAGAAUUGCCAUUUCCAAAUGCCUUCCUUACCAAGACAAUUAUGACCGUCAUGAGCCAACAUGAAGCCAUCAAAACAAGUGCAACGAUAAUUGCCUGGAAUAUUCAAACAGUCAUGGACACAGCCUCCAUUGAGCUCAUUUCCACAUUCAUCGAUGUCUGAGGAAUAAAACAGAAGUAAACCAGACAGGUGCUAUUUCUUUGAUGUGAAAACAUAUGCACUUACCUUUUAACCAGCCAUUCCACUUCUAGGAAUGUUGAUAUUGUCUUUUGAUGUUCAAAAUUUUUAAAUUUUCAGGAAGUCCAAUUUGUCUAUUUUUUCUUUUGUUGUAUGUGGCUUUGGUGUGAUAUCCAAGAAAUUAUCUCCUCGGCAGUUUCUUAAAAAUUUAAACACAAAUACAACAUAUGACCCAGCAAUCCCACUCCUAGGUAUAUACCCAGAUACAACAGCACCUCUGUAGCAGCCUGGCCAAAAACUCAUAACCUCAAUUUUAUCAUGAAAAAAAACAAAGACAUUCUCUUCUAUCAAUCAUUGUUUUUUGAGACAGCGUCUCAUUUUGUCACCCAGGCUGGAGUGCAGUGGUGCCAUCAUAGCUCACUGCAAACUCCUGGGCUCAAGUGAUCCUCCUGCCUCAGCCUCCUGAGUAGCAGGGACUACAGGCACACAUCACCACACCAGCAAUUUUUUGUUUUGUUUUGUUUUGUUUUAGAGACAGGUAUCUCACUAUGUUGCCCAGGCUUAUCUCACACUCCUGGCCUCAUGUAAGCCUCCCUCCUUGGCAUCUCAAAGUGUUAGGAUUACAAGCAUGAGCCACUGCACCUGGCCUCAUAUCAAUUCUUAUAAUGACAUUAAGACAAAUGAAGUGAGCAGUACUCAUCAGAAGUGUCAAUGUCAGGAAAGACUGAGGAACUAAAUCUAAUGUGGGACUUUACUUGGAUUCUGGAACAAAAAAAGAAUGGUAGGGAAAAAUGGUGAAAUUUGAAUAAAGUUUGUAGUUUACUUAAUAGCAUUGUGCCAGUGUUGAUUUCCUGGUUUUGAUAAUUGUACUAUAGUUAUGUAAGUUGGUUGGUCCCAAGAGGCUUAAAAAUUAAUAGGCCAAGAAAUGGAUAAAGGAGUUACAUCUUUGUAAGAGGGACAUCCUGGCCGGGCGCAGUGGCUCACGCCGUAUGGAGGAAUCAGCAGAUAAAUGUUUUGGGGAGAGAUAGCUUUUUGGCCUCCCAUGACAUGGCAGGGGGAGCGGGGAAGAGAGAGAGAAAGAGAGAGAGCGCGAGCUACUUCAUGGAUGGAUCACCAACCCCACUUGCUAUGCACCUGACCAGGACCACACCUUCUCCAGUGGGAGCGGUGGGAGCCUCACUCCUCGUGCACAAAGGGGAGCUCCCUGAAUGAUUUCCCAAGGGGUGUCACCAGAUCCAAACUUGCCCGUCAUAAUCCCAUCUGUUAUUCAUAUUUGCUAUCUAUAUUUUCUUUUGGUCUUCCCUUCCUUUGUAACAAAGUUCAUUGUAAAGAUCCCAUUUCUUGUCUCAGCUAUGCUAAGACAAGGAGAUGGGUGGAUAGGGAGGAUCAGGUCAUUGCUACAACACUGCAAAAACAUCUGACAGUCACUUACCUA